Molecule: ribosomal RNA, 274 nt
Filed under: uncultured Lachnospiraceae bacterium
Lineage: Bacteria; Bacillati; Bacillota; Clostridia; Lachnospirales; Lachnospiraceae
Description: partial 16S ribosomal RNA
Rfam family: Bacterial small subunit ribosomal RNA
Source: RNAcentral
AUUUCUUCGGAUUGAAGCCUUGGUGACUGAGCGGCGGACGGGUGAGUAACGCGUGGGUAACCUGCCUCAUACAGGGGGAUAACAGUUGGAAACGGCUGCUAAUACCGCAUAAGCGCACAGUACCGCAUGGUACAGUGUGAAAAACUCCGGUGGUGUGAGAUGGACCCGCGUCUGAUUAGGUAGUUGGUGCGGUAACGGCGCACCAAGCCGACGAUCAGUAGCCGACCUGAGAGGGUGACCGGCCACAUUGGGACUGAGACACGGCCCAAACUCC